This 305-nucleotide ribosomal RNA is filed under the name uncultured bacterium. Its description in RNAcentral is "bacterial SSU rRNA". It matches the Rfam family "Bacterial small subunit ribosomal RNA", at positions 331 to 655 of the family's 1533-position model. The record is from RNAcentral.
CCUAACCUACGGGAGGCAGCAGUGGGGAAUAUUGCACAAUGGGGGAAACCCUGAUGCAGCGACGCCGCGUGAGCGAAGAAGUAUCUCGGUAUGUAAAGCUCUAUCAGCAGGGAAGAAAAUGACGGUACCUGACUAAGAAGCCCCGGCUAACUACGUGCCAGCAGCCGCGGUAAUACGUAGGGGGCAAGCGUUAUCCGGAUUUACUGGGUGUAAAGGGAGCGUAGACGGAGGAGCAAGUCUGAUGUGAACAUCCGGGGCCCAACCCCGGAACAGCAUUGGAAACUGUUUAUCUAGAGUGUCGGAGG